GACGAACGCUGGCGGCGUGCUUAACACAUGCAAGUCGAACGGAAAGGCCCUGCUUUUGUGGUGUGCUCGAGUGGCGAACGGGUGAGUAACACGUGAGUAACCUGCCCUUGACUUUGGUAUAACUUCAGGAAACUGUGGCUAAUCCCGGAUAGGAGCUCCUGCUUCAUGGUGGGGGUUGGAAAGUUUCGGCGGUUGGGGAUGGACUCGCGGCUUAUCAGCUUGUUGGUGGGGUAGUGGCUUACCAAGGCUUUGACGGAUAGCCGGCCUGAGAGGGGGACCGGCAACAUUGGGACUGAGAUACGGCCCAGACUCCUACGGGAGGAAGAAGGGGGGAAUAUUGCACAAUGGGCGGAAGCCUGAUGCAGCAACGCCGCGUGCGGGAUGACGGCCUUCGGGUUGUAAACCGCUUUCGCCUGUGACGAAGCGUGAGUGACGGUAAUGGGUAAAGAAGCACCGGCUAACUACGUG
RNAcentral lists this ribosomal RNA (468 nucleotides) under uncultured bacterium. RNAcentral's name for it is "partial 16S ribosomal RNA". It matches the Rfam family "Bacterial small subunit ribosomal RNA", at positions 28 to 507 of the family's 1533-position model. The record is from RNAcentral.